RNAcentral lists this ribosomal RNA (495 nucleotides) under uncultured bacterium. Its description in RNAcentral is "partial 16S ribosomal RNA". It matches the Rfam family "Bacterial small subunit ribosomal RNA", at positions 28 to 507 of the family's 1533-position model. The record is from RNAcentral.
GACGAACGCUGGCGGCGUGCCUAAUACAUGCAAGUAGAACGCUGAAGGAGGAGCUUGCUUCUCUGGAUGAGUUGCGAACGGGUGAGUAACGCGUAGGUAACCUGCCUGGUAGCGGGGGAUAACUAUUGGAAACGAUAGCUAAUACCGCAUAAUAGCAGUUGUUGCAUGACAACUGUUUGAAAGGUGCAAUUGCACCACUACCAGAUGGACCUGCGUUGUAUUAGCUAGUUGGUGGGGUAACGGCUCACCAAGGCGACGAUACAUAGCCGACCUGAGAGGGUGAUCGGCCACACUGGGACUGAGACACGGCCCAGACUCCUACGGGAGGCAGCAGUAGGGAAGCGUCGGCAAUGGACGGAAGUCUGACCGAGCAACGCCGCGUGAGUGAAGAAGGUUUUCGGAUCGUAAAGCUCUGUUGUAAGAGAAGAACGAGUGUGAGAGUGGAAAGUUCGCACUGUGACGGUAUCUUACCAGAAAGGGACGGCUAACUACGUG